This is a non-coding RNA of Caenorhabditis elegans, 21 nucleotides long. NCBI's taxonomy places the organism in Eukaryota, Metazoa, Nematoda, Chromadorea, Rhabditida, Rhabditidae. The record is from Ensembl.
UCGACUGUUACAUCUACGGAU